Molecule: ribosomal RNA, 497 nt
Filed under: uncultured bacterium
Lineage: Bacteria
Description: partial 16S ribosomal RNA
Rfam family: Bacterial small subunit ribosomal RNA
Source: RNAcentral
GAUGAACGCUGGCGGCGCGCCUAAUACAUGCAAGUCGAGCGAACAGACGAGGAGCUUGCUCCUCUGACGUUAGCGGCGGACGGGUGAGUAACACGUGGAUAACCUACCUAUAAGACUGGGAUAACUUCGGGAAACCGGAGCUAAUACCGGAUAAUAUAUUGAACCGCAUGGUUCAAUAGUGAAAGACGGUUUUGCUGUCACUUAUAGAUGGAUCCGCGCCGCAUUAGCUAGUUGGUAAGGUAACAGCUUACCAAGGCAACGAGGCGUAGCCGACCUGGGAGGGUGAUCGGCCACACUGGAACUGAGACACGGUCCAGACUCCUACGGGAGGCAGCAGUAGGGAAUCUUCCGCAAUGGGCGAAAGCCUGACGGGGCAACGCCGCGUGAGUGAUGAAGGUCUUCGGAUCGUAAAACUCUGUUAUUAGGGAGGAACAAAUGUGCAAGUAACUAUGCACGUCUUGACGGUACCUAAUCAGAAAGCCACGGCUAACUACGUG